Etheostoma cragini (Arkansas darter) is the source of this 191-nucleotide long non-coding RNA. RefSeq lists it as uncharacterized. The transcript is spliced from 2 exons. NCBI's taxonomy places the organism in Eukaryota, Metazoa, Chordata, Actinopteri, Perciformes, Percidae. The record is from RefSeq and is a predicted model, not a curated record.
AUUUCCAUUAGCGAGCGAGUAAAUGACAUGAUGCAAAAGUGGGGUCAUCUGCAAAUUGAGUCUUGGCUUGUAACACCCAUACAGAUAUACUGUAUGGAUUACAUUAGUUCAUAGGUCAACAUUUCAUCUGGAGCACAAUAUGUAGGGCAGUGGUUGAGUGCUAGCUCAUUCAGACGCGAGCACUCUCCAGA